UACGAAGGGGGCUAGCGUUGCUCGGAAUCACUGGGCGUAAAGGGUGCGUAGGCGGGUUUUUAAGUCAGGGGUGAAAUCCUGGAGCUCAACUCCAGAACUGCCUUUGAUACUGGCAAUCUCGAGUCCGGGAGAGGUGAGUGGAACUGCGAGUGUAGAGGUGAAAUUCGUAGAUAUUCGCAAGAACACCAGUGGCGAAGGCGGCUCACUGGCCCGGUACUGACGCUGAGGUGCGAAAGCGUGGGGAGCAAACAGG
RNAcentral lists this ribosomal RNA (253 nucleotides) under uncultured bacterium. RNAcentral's name for it is "partial 16S ribosomal RNA". It matches the Rfam family "Bacterial small subunit ribosomal RNA", at positions 524 to 776 of the family's 1533-position model. The record is from RNAcentral.